RNAcentral lists this ribosomal RNA (705 nucleotides) under uncultured Enterobacterales bacterium. RNAcentral describes it as "bacterial SSU rRNA". It matches the Rfam family "Bacterial small subunit ribosomal RNA", at positions 63 to 757 of the family's 1533-position model. The record is from RNAcentral. Lineage: Bacteria; Pseudomonadati; Pseudomonadota; Gammaproteobacteria; Enterobacterales.
CGAACGGUAACAGGAAGCAGCUUGCUGCUUCGCUGACGAGUGGCGGACGGGUGAGUAAUGUCUGGGAAACUGCCUGAUGGAGGGGGAUAACUACUGGAAACGGUAGCUAAUACCGCAUAACGUCGCAAGACCAAAGAGGGGGACCUUCGGGCCUCUUGCCAUCGGAUGUGCCCAGAUGGGAUUAGCUAGUAGGUGGGGUAACGGCUCACCUAGGCGACGAUCCCUAGCUGGUCUGAGAGGAUGACCAGCCACACUGGAACUGAGACACGGUCCAGACUCCUACGGGAGGCAGCAGUGGGGAAUAUUGCACAAUGGGCGCAAGCCUGAUGCAGCCAUGCCGCGUGUAUGAAGAAGGCCUUCGGGUUGUAAAGUACUUUCAGCGGGGAGGAAGGCGACAGGGUUAAUAACCCUGUCGAUUGACGUUACCCGCAGAAGAAGCACCGGCUAACUCCGUGCCAGCAGCCGCGGUAAUACGGAGGGUGCAAGCGUUAAUCGGAAUUACUGGGCGUAAAGCGCACGCAGGCGGUCUGUCAAGUCGGAUGUGAAAUCCCCGGGCUCAACCUGGGAACUGCAUUCGAAACUGGCAGGCUAGAGUCUUGUAGAGGGGGGUAGAAUUCCAGGUGUAGCGGUGAAAUGCGUAGAGAUCUGGAGGAAUACCGGUGGCGAAGGCGGCCCCCUGGACAAAGACUGACGCUCAGGUGCGAA